CAGUAGCCGCGGUAAUACGUAGGGUGCGAGCGUUAAUCGGAAUUACUGGGCGUAAAGCGUGCGCAGGCGGUUCGUUAAGACAGAUGUGAAAUCCCCGGGCUUAACCUGGGAACUGCAUUUGUGACUGACGGGCUAGAGUGUGGCAGAGGGGGGUAGAAUUCCACGUGUAGCAGUGAAAUGCGUAGAGAUGUGGAGGAAUACCGAUGGCGAAGGCAGCCCCCUGGGCCAAUACUGACGCUCAUGCACGAAAGCGUGGGGAGCAAACAGGAUUAGAGACCCGCGUAGUCCCUGUCUCUUAUAC
Molecule: ribosomal RNA, 301 nt
Filed under: uncultured bacterium
Lineage: Bacteria
Description: partial 16S ribosomal RNA
Rfam family: Bacterial small subunit ribosomal RNA
Source: RNAcentral